CUCUGUACUCGACGUUGUCGUGUGAUGACCAUCGGAGAAAACAUGAAAUAUUAGGAAUCAAUAACACAUAAACAAAUGAGAAAAACUUCAUUUCGAUUUUUCCAGUUGUAAUUAUAAUGUACAGAUCAAUAUAUAUAUCCACCCUGAAUAAAAAUACUAAAAGAUAAAUUGAUCUUAAAUUCCUAAAAGCUGUUGUCUUCCUUGUGGCUUCGUUAACAGUGAUUCCAUUUAUAAUUUUUAUGUUUAAA
This 248-nucleotide long non-coding RNA is filed under the name Mytilus galloprovincialis (Mediterranean mussel). The record is from RNAcentral. Lineage: Eukaryota; Metazoa; Mollusca; Bivalvia; Mytilida; Mytilidae.